GGAUUGACACAUCGGUCGUGCCUUAAGGGGUAUGAACUGGUGUAGUCAAUUUCUCACCUUCUGGAGAGCCGCGAUGCCCUUAAUUGGGUGUCACGGGGAACCAGGACCUUUACUUUGAAAAAUUAGAGUGUUUAAAGCAGGCAUUUUGCUUGAAUACAUUAGCAUGGAAUAAUAAAAUAGGACGGCAUGAUUCUAUUUUGUUGGUUUCUAGGAUCACCGUAAUGAUUAAUAGGGAUAGUUGGG
RNAcentral lists this ribosomal RNA (243 nucleotides) under uncultured Glomus. RNAcentral's name for it is "partial 18S ribosomal RNA". It matches the Rfam family "Eukaryotic small subunit ribosomal RNA", at positions 665 to 886 of the family's 1831-position model. Lineage: Eukaryota; Fungi; Glomeromycota; Glomeromycetes; Glomerales; Glomeraceae. The record is from RNAcentral.